Molecule: ribosomal RNA, 254 nt
Filed under: uncultured bacterium
Lineage: Bacteria
Description: partial 16S ribosomal RNA
Rfam family: Bacterial small subunit ribosomal RNA
Source: RNAcentral
UACGGGGGGGGCUAGCGUUGCUCGGAAUGACUGGGCGUAAAGGGCGCGUAGGCGGUUCGUACAGUCAGGCGUGAAAUUCCCGGGCUUAACCUGGGGGCUGCGUUUGAUACGUGCGGGCUUGAGUUCGGAAGAGGGUCGUGGAAUUCCCAGUGUAGAGGUGAAAUUCGUAGAUAUUGGGAAGAACACCGGUGGCGAAGGCGGCGACCUGGUCCGAUACUGACGCUGAGGCGCGGAAAGCCAGGGGAGCAAACGGG